UACGUAGGGGGCUAGCGUUGUCCGGAUUUAUUGGGCGUAAAGAGCGUGUAGGCGGCUAGGUAGGUCCGUUGUGAAAACUCGAGGCUCAACCUCGAGACGCCGAUGGAAACCAUCUGGCUAGAGUCCGGAAGAGGAGAGUGGAAUUCCUGGUGUAGCGGUGAAAUGCGCAGAUAUCAGGAAGAACACCCGUGGCUAAGGCGGCUCUCUAGUACGGUACUGACGCUGAGACGCGAAAGCGUGGGGAGCGAACCGG
This 253-nucleotide ribosomal RNA is filed under the name uncultured bacterium. Its description in RNAcentral is "partial 16S ribosomal RNA". It matches the Rfam family "Bacterial small subunit ribosomal RNA", at positions 524 to 776 of the family's 1533-position model. The record is from RNAcentral.